CAGAAAAUAGUUUAUAGUAAAAAAUAUUAAUUUUGGAGAUUAAUGAAAAAAGAAUAUUUUUUUUUCUGA
RNAcentral lists this transfer RNA (69 nucleotides) under Taxoblenus sp. RNAcentral's name for it is "tRNA-Pro". Lineage: Eukaryota; Metazoa; Arthropoda; Insecta; Hymenoptera; Tenthredinidae. The record is from RNAcentral.